RNAcentral lists this transfer RNA (73 nucleotides) under Ailuropoda melanoleuca (giant panda). It matches the Rfam family "tRNA". From Rfam's summary of the family: Transfer RNA (tRNA) molecules are approximately 80 nucleotides in length. Their secondary structure includes four short double-helical elements and three loops (D, anti-codon, and T loops). Lineage: Eukaryota; Metazoa; Chordata; Mammalia; Carnivora; Ursidae. The record is from Rfam by way of RNAcentral.
GCCUGGCUGGCUCAGUAGGUAGAGCAUGUGACUCUUGAUCUCAGGUUUGUAGGUUUGGGCCCCACACUGGGUG